UACGGGGGAGGCAGCAGUAGGGAAUCUUCCACAAUGGACGCAAGUCUGAUGGAGCAACGCCGCGUGAGUGAAGAAGGCUUUCGGGUCGUAAAACUCUGUUGUUGGAGAAGAAUGGUCGGCAGAGUAACUGUUGUCGGCGUGACGGUAUCCAACCAGAAAGCCACGGCUAACUACGUGCCAGCAGCCGCGGUAAUACGUAGGUGGCAAGCGUUAUCCGGAUUUAUUGGGCGUAAAGCGAGCGCAGGCGGUUUUUUAAGUCUGAUGUGAAAGCCCUCGGCUUAACCGAGGAAGCGCAUCGGAAACUGGGAAACUUGAGUGCAGAAGAGGACAGUGGAACUCCAUGUGUAGCGGUGAAAUGCGUAGAUAUAUGGAAGAACACCAGUGGCGAAGGCGGCUGUCUGGUCUGUAACUGACGCUGAGGCUCGAAAGCAUGGGUAGCGAACAGGAUUAGAUACCCUGGGGUAG
RNAcentral lists this ribosomal RNA (465 nucleotides) under Lacticaseibacillus paracasei. Its description in RNAcentral is "bacterial SSU rRNA". It matches the Rfam family "Bacterial small subunit ribosomal RNA", at positions 340 to 793 of the family's 1533-position model. The record is from RNAcentral. Lineage: Bacteria; Bacillati; Bacillota; Bacilli; Lactobacillales; Lactobacillaceae.